UGGGGAAUAUUGCACAAUGGGCGAAAGCCUGAUGCAGCGACGCCGCGUGAGGGAUGACGGCCUUCGGGUUGUAAACCUCUUUCAGCAGGGACGAAGCGCAAGUGACGGUACCUGCAGAAGAAGCACCGGCUAACUACGUGCCAGCAGCCGCGGUAAUACGUAGGGUGCAAGCGUUGUCCGGAAUUACUGGGCGUAAAGAGUUCGUAGGCGGUUUGUCGCGUCGUUUGUGAAAACCAGCAGCUCAACUGCUGGCUUGCAGGUGAUACGGGCAGACUUGAGUACUGCAGGGGAGACUGGAAUUCCUGGUGUAGCGGUGAAAUGCGCAGAUAUCAGGAGGAACACCGGUGGCGAAGGCGGGUCUCUGGGCAGUAACUGACGCUGAGGAACGAAAGCGUGGGUAGCGAACAGG
This 409-nucleotide ribosomal RNA is filed under the name bacterium. Its description in RNAcentral is "partial 16S ribosomal RNA". It matches the Rfam family "Bacterial small subunit ribosomal RNA", at positions 355 to 776 of the family's 1533-position model. The record is from RNAcentral.